Molecule: long non-coding RNA, 329 nt
Filed under: Mytilus galloprovincialis (Mediterranean mussel)
Lineage: Eukaryota; Metazoa; Mollusca; Bivalvia; Mytilida; Mytilidae
Source: RNAcentral
CCGGUACUAUAAUGUCAUCCGGUAAACUGUAAACAAACGCACGUGGACGAUGAUCACAUGGGUCGGAAUGUUAGUAAACAUAAGCACGUGGUAAAGUUCAUCACAUGGUACCAUAACGGAAGUAAACAAACACACAUGGUCACUGCAUACAUGGACUCGAGACAUCUAAUGGUGGUCACUGACAUCACAUCUGGAUCUCCACAAAAACUGGUAUGUGCCAUCAACCCAACGAAACGUGGGCGCCAUUUGUAGUAGGUGGUUUUCUAUGCGUAAAGAGUAACACCAACAAGAGCUUAGGGUUCUGAUGCUUUAUUGUACCAGUAGAUAAA